CCUACGGGAGGCAGCAGUGGGGAAUAUUGCACAAUGGGGGAAACCCUGAUGCAGCGACGCCGCGUGAGUGAUGAAGUUUUUCGGUAUGUAAAGUCCUAUUAUUAGGGAAGAUAAUGACGGUAUCUGACUAAGAAGCACCGGCUAACUACGUGCCAGCAGCCGCGGUAAUACGUAGGGGGCAAGCGUUACCCGGAAUCACUGGGUGUAAAGGGCGCGUAGGCGGGAGAGCAAGUCAGAUGUGAAAGCCUAUGGCUUAACCCCAGUACUGCAUUUGAAACUGUCCAGCUGGAGUACAGGAGAGGUAGGUGGAAUUCUUGGUGUAGCGGUAAAAUGCGUAGAGAUUAAGAGGAACACCAAUUGCGAAGGCGACUUGCUAGACUAUAACUGACACUGAGGCGCGAAAGCGUGGGGAGCAAACAGGAUUAGAUACCCGGGUAGUC
This 440-nucleotide ribosomal RNA is filed under the name uncultured bacterium. RNAcentral describes it as "partial 16S ribosomal RNA". It matches the Rfam family "Bacterial small subunit ribosomal RNA", at positions 338 to 795 of the family's 1533-position model. The record is from RNAcentral.